Molecule: ribosomal RNA, 168 nt
Filed under: Chorizema genistoides
Lineage: Eukaryota; Viridiplantae; Streptophyta; Magnoliopsida; Fabales; Fabaceae
Description: 5.8S ribosomal RNA
Rfam family: 5.8S ribosomal RNA
About the family: 5.8S ribosomal RNA (5.8S rRNA) is a component of the large subunit of the eukaryotic ribosome. It is transcribed by RNA polymerase I as part of the 45S precursor that also contains 18S and 28S rRNA. Functionally, it is thought that 5.8S rRNA may be involved in ribosome translocation.
Source: RNAcentral
AUACAAAAUGACUCUCGGCAACGGAUAUCUCGGCUCUUGCAUCGAUGAAGAACGUAGCGAAAUGCGAUACUUGGUGUGAAUUGCAGAAUCCCGUGAACCAUCGAGUCUUUGAACGCAAGUUGCGUCCAAAGCCAUUAGGCUGAGGGCACGCCUGCCUGGGUGUCACAC